This 907-nucleotide ribosomal RNA is filed under the name Amanita aff. sinicoflava. RNAcentral describes it as "partial large subunit ribosomal RNA". It matches the Rfam family "Eukaryotic large subunit ribosomal RNA", at positions 73 to 944 of the family's 3401-position model. Lineage: Eukaryota; Fungi; Basidiomycota; Agaricomycetes; Agaricales; Amanitaceae. The record is from RNAcentral.
GAUUCCCCUAGUAACUGCGAGUGAAGCGGGAAAAGCUCAAAUUUGAAAUCUGGCAGUCUUUUUUUUCUUCUUUGGCUGUCCGAGUUGUAAUCUAGAGAAGUGCUUACCUGCGCUGGACCAUGUAUAAGUCUCCUGGAAUGGAGCCUCACAGAGGGUGAGAAUCCCGUCUUUGACAUGGACCGCCAGUGCGUUGUGGUGCGCUCUCAAAGAGUCGAGUUGUUUGGGAAUGCAGCUCUAAACGGGUGGUAAACUCCAUCUAAAGCUAAAUAUUGGCGAGAGACCGAUAGCGAACAAGUACCGUGAGGGAAAGAUGAAAAGGACUUUGGAAAGAGAGUUAAACAGUAUGUGAAAUUGUUGAAAGGGAAACGCUUGAAGUCAGUUAUGUCGGCUGGGGAUCAACCUAGCCAUCUUUUUGGCUGGGUGAAUUUCCUAGUCUGACAGGCCAACAUCAGUCUUGACUGCCGGAAAAGAGCGGAGGGAAUGUGGCACCUUUGGGUGUGUUAUAGCCCUCUGUCAUAUGCGGCAGUCGGGACUGAGGGAUGCAGCGUGCCGCGAGGCUGGGUUUCGACCACGUUCACGCUUAGGAUGUUGGCUUUUAAUGGCUCCAAUCGACCCGUCUUGAAACACGGACCAAGGAGUCUAACAUGCCUGCGAGUGUUUGGGUGGAAAACCCUUGUGCACAAUGAAAGUGAAAGUUGAGAUCCCCGUCAUGGGGAGCAUCGACGCCCGGACUUGAGCUUUUAGCGACGGAUCCGCGGUAGAGCAUGCAUGUUGGGACCCGAAAGAUGGUGAACUAUGCCUGAAUAGGGCAAAGCCAGAGGAAACUCUGGUGGAGGCUCGUAGCGAUUCUGACGUGCAAAUCGAUCGUCAAAUUUGGGUAUAGGGGCGAAAGACUAAUCGAACCAUC